AAGCGAAAAGGAAAUUUGGUAUAGACCAGGUAGCUCAAAUGGUGGAGUAGCCGACAUGUCAUCGGAAGGUUCUGGGUUCGAGUCCCAGUCCUAGCUAUCUGAAUUUUUUCUCGCAUAUUCUAUAAACUCUCAUUAAGAAGGUCCUUUCCAAUUCCUUUCUUCCCCAAUUAUCCUGUUACGUAAAUAUUGGAACGCUUUACGUAAUAAUUACCGUAACUCCUCUUAUUUCCCGCUUCACAGCAUUAUUUAAUUU
This is a long non-coding RNA of Cotesia glomerata, 253 nucleotides long. RefSeq lists it as uncharacterized. NCBI's taxonomy places the organism in Eukaryota, Metazoa, Arthropoda, Insecta, Hymenoptera, Braconidae. The transcript is spliced from 2 exons. The record is from RefSeq and is a predicted model, not a curated record.